GCGCUGCACAAAAGGAGCGGCGCCGUCGUUACAGCCGUCGCCAUCUUGGCUUGCCCCCUCCCUCGGAGUGGGGCGGGGGAUGCUGCCGCCCUAAGGCGAGGUUUAACCCUCGGGGGACCGCCGUCCGUCAGGAUGCGUCUUGUCCUUUAACGGCGCGCACGGCGGUGUAGCGACGCCGUCACGGGCAGGGCGGGCGGCUGACCGAAAGCCUUGCCCACGGGUUUGCACGCGAGGAGGAGCCGUGCAACGGCGGUGGCGAGCGGGGCUGCGCGGUUCGAAGAGCAGUUGGUACCGCAAAGGAAUGCAGCGUGCAGAGCGUGCUUCAGGCUUUGCGAGCAACUGAUAUAAUUUGCUGGAAAAUUGAAUUUGGGGGCACAGAGAAAAUCAAAUCAGGGACAGAAAAGUGAUAAGAAUGCUGAGCAAGGGCUUGUCUUAGGAAUCACAGAUGAAGACUGAUUUUGCAGCUGUAGGAGUGGCAGGGUGCUCCCAGCUGCCUGGAAACCAAAAUCAAGGGAUGAGGUACUGGAAGGCACAAAUACCCAGUUGCCCUUGUUUUCUUUUCUGGAAACCAGGAGUCCACACUGGGGAUAUCAGCACGCCACCCUGGUCCUUUCACAGAGCUCACACGUUGCUGUGCAUUACCCCAAGGCUGGCACCCAGGCUGCGUGUGGAAGGUGCCUCUGGUGCACAGGUGUGAUGGCGUUGCCUGGUGCCCAUCCCAGGAGCAGCCCUGUGGACCACGAGGCAAGGCACAGCAGGUUCAGGUUCACAGUGCCGUGUUUCAUGUGGACUUCCAUGUGGAUAUUUGGAUGUUAAAAGGUAGACUCCAUAUAAAGUCAGUACAGAAUCAGGUUUUUAAUAGGAAAGCUGCUUAGCCUCUGAGGUCCCGUCACUGUCUCUUUUUGAAAUGUUCAGAAUGAUAGAACUGAUAAGAAAUGAACGCUUCAGGAAUUUAUCAUAUUCUGGAACAUUUUUCAAGUGAAGUAUUUUGUUAGAAAUGAUCAUCUUUGAAAAUGCCUUAAGAAAACUGAUUAUUUUUUUGCAUGACAUAAUUCUGUAUUGAUUCUAUAUUCCACAGAAUGCAGUAUCAUCUUAGUUGAUUGCUGUAUAGUAAAAGGGUGUAGUUUAGCUCAAGCAGCAUUUUGGAGGCAGGCUGUUACCUUUCCUCCGUGGGAUUUUUCCUUAGGAUGCUGCCUCCCUUAGAGGCCAGAAAUAGGAGCUCUGCUUGCACUUGCAUCCUCCUCCUUCCACAAACUGAGGAGGAGGGGAAUAGAGUGCAGCCCUGGUUUGUGCUCUGGAAGGUCUUUGCCCAGCCACAGCUGUCACCAGCCAGGUGCCACGAGUCUGUGAUGCCUUACCAGGAAAUAGUGGUGGUGUGAUAAUAUGAAAUAUGAUGCUUUCCUCUUCUGCCUGUUUCCUUGCCUACCUAGUCCAUGAACUUUCCAAAAUAGCUGACUACAGCCCUUCAUCUCACAGGGAGAAAAGUCUUAUAUCUCUCUAAUAACAUUAGACAUCUAAAGGGGGCUGGGAAUCCUCUUGGGAGUGAAGGGAACUCAUCAUAGUAAACUGCUGUUAAAUUUGGCUUUAAAAUUUUGUAGUUCAGCUGACAAAUCUACAGUUGUCAAUGCCGGCAGCACUGAUACAAGAAGUACUGGUAAUCUUUGAGAAGACAUCUAACAAUAGCAAUACAGACAGACUGGGAGCCAGUUGUGUUCUGUUUUGUCCUCCUCGUACACUGGCACAUGCCCUCAGUAGUGAGCUGCUCAGGCAACAAAUCACUGACAGGUGUGCAACGACAAGCUUGUCUAGGCAGGCUUAAAUCAUCCCUGGCGGUUGCACCUGUGUACUUACGGUCAGUACCAGCAUCAAUUUGCUAGAAUUUAGCUCGGAUACCCACUAGUUGAAAAUAUCUUUAGAAACAAGCAAGCCAGUAUGUUCAACUGGAGUUGUUUGCUGCUGGCCUGCUAACUUUCUGUAAAAGGUGUGGGCAGACAGGUGUAACAGGCUAUGGGGAAACAUCAAAUGAGUACCAGAAGGAACCUGUGAAUACAUUAUUUUUCCUUUGUUUUUAUGUUUUGUUUAAACUGCCACAUGUAACAGCUUUGGUGAUUUCCAUGUUUUAAGAAUGAGCAAUGGAUGUUCUAAACCCUGCUGCAGAAAAAGUGUUGGAGUCUCAAAAAUUGCUGUGUGCAUUUUGUGUCACCGCCCAAUGCCAGCAAAGACAUAAAGAGCAAAGGAGUAUCUUGCAGCUGCUACAAGAUGAGACUUACUGAAGCCAAUCCCUCCUUCAAGAAUCUGUAUCUGUUUCUCUACGUGGCAGAUUAGAUGUGAGUUCAACGGAAAACUGUUCUUCUUUAGAGAGUUAAUUCUGUCGUCGUCUGUGAAUUUAUGCAUCGAAUAAAUAAAACAUGAACAGCAGCAAUGUGAUCAUUCACCCGAGAUGCGUCCAGCCUAAAUCAAAGUAAACUGUGGCAGGUAAAAUCCAGCCUUUCAUUUCUGUUGGAAUGCAGCUGGCCAACCUCUCUUAUCCUCUGAGCCACCUUAGAGGGUAAAGGGGCUGUGAACUUUGCAGAGGCUCACAAGUGGCACCUGACAUCCCAUCAGUCUGCUGCAAGCACAAUGCUUUUAUUUUGAGACUACUGGAGAUGAGAUCUGGGAAUCUUCUGUGUGCCAAAGUCUUCCUGUACAAUAUGGAGCUCCAUCAAAAUUCAGCUGAUGUGAAACUGCUCUGAGGAUAGGAAGACCAUGAAGUAGCAGCAAAGGCAGGAAGGGCCCCAGGACAGCAUGCUGAACCAAAAAAGAGCUCCUCCUUUGAAACAGCCUACAAGUGCCUGCAGUACAAAUGCCUGCUGUACCACCGCUCUCAUCUCUGAAACCAGCUUCUCCAUCACCCCACAGUCUAUGCAGAUGUUGCUGGAGUCAGGCAACACAGUGGCACAGCAGCACCCUGGGAAUAGAGGAGCAGUUAUUUUCACCACAGCUUUCCUAUUUGGUUUAGCUCUGUCAAGCAAGGAAAGCACGUGCCAUUUUCCAGCAAGAACUCAUUCAGCUUGAGCAUCUCCAUAUGAAGCAAUUAAUGGAACAGAAAGGCAAUGAGAAGAAAUCCACCAAGGGACUACUGAGAAGUGAAGCUACAGUCCUGCAAAGCGUGCUUAUUAAUGCCACAGGAGAGGGGCAGUAAUUCAAAAUCUGUUUUUCAGGACCAUCGGCUAAACGAACAUGAAGAGAGAUGCACAUGUGGUAAAGCAUCCUUCCUCCCACUCCAUCAGACUGCACAGCAUUUAAGAUUUAUCACUACUGAUGACAGAUACCUGACCUCACAUAACUCUGCACGGAAUUUUGUUGUAACAGUUGCAGUUAAAUAAAGUGUUAUUUCUCUUAA
This is a long non-coding RNA of Phasianus colchicus (ring-necked pheasant), 3382 nucleotides long. RefSeq lists it as uncharacterized. NCBI's taxonomy places the organism in Eukaryota, Metazoa, Chordata, Aves, Galliformes, Phasianidae. The record is from RefSeq and is a predicted model, not a curated record.